This 738-nucleotide ribosomal RNA is filed under the name uncultured soil bacterium. RNAcentral's name for it is "bacterial SSU rRNA". It matches the Rfam family "Bacterial small subunit ribosomal RNA", at positions 37 to 770 of the family's 1533-position model. The record is from RNAcentral.
UGGCGGCAUGCCUUACACAUGCAAGUCGAGCGGCAGCGCGGGGGCAACCCUGGCGGCGAGCGGCGAACGGGUGAGUAAUACAUCGGAACGUGUCCAGUAGCGGGGGAUAACCUGUCGAAAGAUAGGCUAAUACCGCAUACGACCUACGGGUGAAAGCGGGGGACCGCAAGGCCUCGCACUAUUGGAGCGGCCGAUGUCGGAUUAGCUAGUUGGCGGGGUAAAAGCCCACCAAGGCGACGAUCCGUAGCUGGUCUGAGAGGACGACCAGCCACACUGGAACUGAGACACGGUCCAGACUCCUACGGGAGGCAGCAGUGGGGAAUUUUGGACAAUGGGCGCAAGCCUGAUCCAGCCAUGCCGCGUGAGUGAAGAAGGCCUUCGGGUUGCAAAGCUCUUUCGGCGGGGACGAAACGGUCCGUGACAACACCACGGACUAAUGACGGUACUCGCAGAAGAAGCACCGGCUAACUACGUGCCAGCAGCCGCGGUAAUACGUAGGGUGCAGGCGUUAAUCGGAAUUACUGGGCGUAAAGCGUGCGCAGGCGGCUCCUUAAGUCAGAUGUGAAAUCCCCGGGCUUAACCUGGGAACUGCGUUUGAAACUGAGGGGCUUGAGUGUGGAAGAGGGGGGUGGAAUUCCAGGUGUAGCAGUGAAAUGCGUAGAGAUCUGGAGGAACACCGAUGGCGAAGGCAGCCCCCUGGGCUAACACUGACGCUCAUGCACGAAAGCGUGGGGAGCA